Molecule: non-coding RNA, 107 nt
Organism: Capsicum annuum
Lineage: Eukaryota; Viridiplantae; Streptophyta; Magnoliopsida; Solanales; Solanaceae
Source: Rfam
UGAUGGUGGUUAGGGCAAUUUCUAAGCAUACCCUUAAAACUCUUCCAAGCUUGGUAAAGAUUUUCUCCUUGUUUCUUCCUGAAAAUUAGAAUCUCACUUCUCAAACA